AAGGAAUUAGUUAACUUAUAAUACCUGCUUGUCAUGCAGGAGUAAUCUUCAAGAUAUUUCUUA
Molecule: transfer RNA, 63 nt
Filed under: Atergatis floridus
Lineage: Eukaryota; Metazoa; Arthropoda; Malacostraca; Decapoda; Xanthidae
Description: tRNA-Asp
Source: RNAcentral